Molecule: long non-coding RNA, 253 nt
Filed under: Vigna radiata
Lineage: Eukaryota; Viridiplantae; Streptophyta; Magnoliopsida; Fabales; Fabaceae
Description: long non-coding RNA (VRAD_LNC014360)
Source: RNAcentral
GGAUUUGUUGAUGAAUAAAUGCAUGCAUAGUAUAAGAUAAAUUAGAAUGAAAAUAUAAUAUUAUAUUGAUGGAGGAAAAGAUAGAAGAAAAUAGAAAAGAGAGUACGAAAGUGAGUUGUAGCUUAGGGUUAAAGGUAAUUAAAGAAGAAAGGAGCAGAAGGGCCAGGAGGAGCAGUGGCAUGGCAACAAGAAGAUGAUUUUCAGUCUAAUCAUGUUCACACAAAAGAUCAAAAACGGGUGUGUGAAGUGUGGG